Molecule: ribosomal RNA, 484 nt
Filed under: uncultured bacterium
Lineage: Bacteria
Description: partial 16S ribosomal RNA
Rfam family: Bacterial small subunit ribosomal RNA
Source: RNAcentral
AUUGAACGCUGGCGGCAGGCCUAACACAUGCAAGUCGAGCGGAUGAAGGGAGCUUGCUCCUGGAUUCAGCGGCGGACGGGUGAGUAAUGCCUAGGAAUCUGCCUGGUAGUGGGGGAUAACGUCCGGAAACGGGCGCUAAUACCGCAUACGUCCUGAGGGAGAAAGUGGGGGAUCUUCGGACCUCACGCUAUCAGAUGAGCCUAGGUCGGAUUAGCUAGUUGGUGGGGUAAAGGCCUACCAAGGCGACGAUCCGUAACUGGUCUUAGAGGAUGAUCAGUCACACUGGAACUGAGACACGGUCGAGACUCCUACGGGAGGCAGCAGUGGGGAAUAUUGGACAAUGGGCGAAAGCCUGAUCCAGCCAAGCCGCGUGUGUGAAGAAGGUCUUCGGAUUGUAAAGCACUUUAAGUUGGGAGGAAGGACAGUAAGUUAAUACCUUGCUGUUUUGACGUUACCAACAGAAUAAGCACCGGCUAACUUCGUG